CAUGGCCAAAAGAGGGGUCCCUUCCCUUAGCUUCAGAAAUUCAUUUCUCCAUUUUCUUUUCUCUCUCAAGAACAGAAACCUUGCCCUAACUCAAGCUCUCACUUCUCUCUAGAUUUCCAGCAUAUUCCACCGUUAGAGUUGUGAUUUGAUUGCAUAUUAUUGCUCCUNGAGUCAAGGGCUACGAAACCAUCCGAUUGGUUUCUCGUUUCGUCAGGUUCUGUUCAUUUUCGAAAGUUGUAGGAGGGUACUGUAGAGCAUCUGUGAACUACGUUAAGCAUCCCACCAGAUGAGCAUGAGCCCACUUUGGAGGAUGUUUUGGAAGACCAAGACAACACUGAUGCUGCAUCUUAGUUUUUUUUUAGGAUUUAUAAUUUGUUGACCUUCUAGUUGAACAUAUGUAUCUAUUUUGAAAAACUCUAGAAUUUUUCCCAUGUGUUUUGNUUAUUUAAUUUCCUCUAGAUUUCGGGAUUACUGUAAUCAAAACCUGAUUAACUUUUCUACUCUUCAACUGCUCUCUUUUAUUAUCAA
This is a long non-coding RNA of Vigna radiata var. radiata (mung bean), 528 nucleotides long. RefSeq lists it as uncharacterized. Lineage: Eukaryota; Viridiplantae; Streptophyta; Magnoliopsida; Fabales; Fabaceae. The transcript is spliced from 3 exons. The record is from RefSeq and is a predicted model, not a curated record.